RNAcentral lists this ribosomal RNA (1320 nucleotides) under Staphylococcus epidermidis. RNAcentral describes it as "partial 23S ribosomal RNA". It matches the Rfam family "Bacterial large subunit ribosomal RNA", at positions 283 to 1600 of the family's 2925-position model. The record is from RNAcentral. Lineage: Bacteria; Bacillati; Bacillota; Bacilli; Caryophanales; Staphylococcaceae.
GCUUGCUUGUUGGGGUUGUAGGACACUCUAUACGGAGUUACAAAAGAACAUGUUAGACGAAUCAUCUGGAAAGAUGAAUCAAAGAAGGUAAUAAUCCUGUAGUCGAAAACAUAUUCUCUCUUGAGUGGAUCCUGAGUACGACGGAGCACGUGAAAUUCCGUCGGAAUCUGGGAGGACCAUCUCCUAAGGCUAAAUACUCUCUAGUGACCGAUAGUGAACCAGUACCGUGAGGGAAAGGUGAAAAGUACCCCGGAAGGGGAGUGAAAGAGAACUUGAAACCGUGUGCUUACAAGUAGUCAGAGCCCGUUAAUGGGUGAUGGCGUGCCUUUUGUAGAAUGAACCGGCGAGUUACGAUCUGAUGCAAGGUUAAGCAGCAAAUGUGGAGCCGCAGCGAAAGCGAGUCUGAAUAGGGCGUUGAGUAUUUGGUCGUAGACCCGAAACCAGGUGAUCUACCCUUGGUCAGGUUGAAGUUCAGGUAACACUGAAUGGAGGACCGAACCGACUUACGUUGAAAAGUGAGCGGAUGAACUGAGGGUAGCGGAGAAAUUCCAAUCGAACUUGGAGAUAGCUGGUUCUCUCCGAAAUAGCUUUAGGGCUAGCCUCAAGUGAUGAUUAUUGGAGGUAGAGCACUGUUUGGACGAGGGGCCCCUCUCGGGUUACCGAAUUCAGACAAACUCCGAAUGCCAAUUAAUUUAACUUGGGAGUCAGAACAUGGGUGAUAAGGUCCGUGUUCGAAAGGGAAACAGCCCAGACCACCAGCUAAGGUCCCAAAAUAUAUGUUAAGUGGAAAAGGAUGUGGCGUUGCCCAGACAACUAGGAUGUUGGCUUAGAAGCAGCCAUCAUUUAAAGAGUGCGUAAUAGCUCACUAGUCGAGUGACACUGCGCCGAAAAUGUACCGGGGCUAAACAUAUUACCGAAGCUGUGGAUUGUCCUUUGGACAAUGGUAGGAGAGCGUUCUAAGGGCGUCGAAGCAUGAUCGCAAGGACAUGUGGAGCGCUUAGAAGUGAGAAUGCCGGUGUGAGUAGCGAAAGACGGGUGAGAAUCCCGUCCACCGAUUGACUAAGGUUUCCAGAGGAAGGCUCGUCCGCUCUGGGUUAGUCGGGUCCUAAGCUGAGGCCGACAGGCGUAGGCGAUGGAUAACAGGUUGAUAUUCCUGUACCACCUAGUAUCGUUUUAAUCGAUGGGGGGACGCAGUAGGAUAGGCGAAGCGUGCUGUUGGAGUGCACGUCCAAGCAGUAAGGCUGAGUGUUAGGCAAAUCCGGCACUCAUAAGGCUGAGCUGUGAUGGGGAGAGGAAAUUGUUUCCUCGAGUCGUUGAUUU